Long non-coding RNA from Girardinichthys multiradiatus, 2396 nucleotides. RefSeq lists it as uncharacterized. Lineage: Eukaryota; Metazoa; Chordata; Actinopteri; Cyprinodontiformes; Goodeidae. The transcript has 3 exons. The record is from RefSeq and is a predicted model, not a curated record.
GAGCGAGGUGUACGGACCUCGCUGGCGUGGAUGAUGCCACGCUGUUCACGGGUGAACAGUAAUUCACCAGUAGAGACCCCUCCCUGAACGGUUGAGUGAGGCUCCCCUAACGAGUAAGUUAGGGGGAAGGCGAUUAGGGUGCCAUAAAGCUCUAAACUCUUGUGGAGACAUCUGCAUGUUUUAAAGGAAUAUUCCCCCAUUUACCAGUAAGUAAAGGGUGUGGCAAGGCUGUCAGUAUGGAACAGUAGUUCAGUUCUAAGGGAUUACCUCCUCCUCCCCAGGGAGAAACGUGUGAAAAAGUAUGGACCACAACGCACCAAGUGCAUCAAUAUAUGGGUUAAAACUUUUGCAGCUCUACAAUAUUAAAAAGGACUGAGGAAGCAACAAAAGAGAAAAAUAGGAAAAAAGACAAUGGAUGACAGGUAUGUGAAAAACUAACUGACUGAUGACAAUACUUCUGUUUGUGCAAAAUCUGAACCAUGUACUAAACUUUUUUCUCUGCCUCUUACACACACACACACACACACACACACAUACACAUGGGGAUUUGAGCGCUCCCUGGACAUUAGACACCUGCCCUCCCCACGGCUUCUCUCCACCAGAGACGCUUCUUCGGCAUGACCUGAAAGGGAGAGGUCCUGCCUGCCUGCUGCAGAUGACAGCGUGAGAGUUUCCACCAGAGCAAAACUCAAAAGAAGUCUGGUAAAAAGCCCAAAACCCAUUGAGAUGGGAAACAACCCACACUGUUUGCCAGAGCCAGAAGAGCGUUACUCUGGACUCAUCUUGAGAGCACAUCUUAUGCAGGCAGAGGAGAAACAAGCUGGAGCAAAGUUUUCCCACCCUUCUGAAGAAGUUAAAGUGGACAAGGAAAGAGCAAAUGUCCACCAACAGGCCAGGGGAAGGCCUGGGUUUUUGGACUGAUAGGGGACUGUAUGCCACAACUGUCCGACUCUGGAGCAGUCAAGAAACUGAGGAGGCAAAAUGUUCCAGAGUAAUGGGUUCAGCUGAACACAUCUUCCCUGGCAAAAACCUGUACAAUGAGAAUGGAAAGAUUUAUUUUUGGUUCUGAAGAAAGCUGGCAUCAGUGUCUAAAGCAGUGGUCCUCAACCUGUGGUUCCUGGACACCUGAGGCCCGUGAGCCAUAGAUUGUGGGUCAGUGAAGAAAAUUUAAUAAAUCAAUAAAGGUUAAAGAUAUGCCAUUUAACUGAACAGAGUACAUUCAAAUAAAAAAAAAUAACCCAAAAUACUACACUUAUUAAAUAAAAGAUCUAAGCCAAUGAUGGGUUCUGGCUUUAAAAUCUAUUAAUACUCAAAUUAGGUUUCUACUCUGGGGAACACAGAUUGAGGCUGAAGGUUGUUUUGGAGCCAGGGUUAGGAUUCAGGAAAUUAAAACUCAUAGUGACUAAAGUCCUUUAUAACAGAAUAAAGGCAGAAGUAAUUAGGGUUCAGGAAUUAAAAUCCUAGGAAAGACCUUUAUGGGGCAUAAAUGCAGGUAAAAUCCUUUAUUUUAGGGAUAAAUAAAGGCUCCUCUUUUAACAUUAAAGAGAAAGAGCGGCUCAAACUUCAGUCUCCGCCCCAGGGAGAAAUAUUUGAUUUCAUGACAACUUGGAUGAGAUUGAAAAUGUUCAAAUAAAGGUUUCAUUUUUGGGGACUUAUAGGGUAAAAGAAUAAUUAAAUCCUUCACUACCUAGGAGUAACAAACAAAUUUCAAAUUAGUACAAAAUAUAUUUUUAAAUUAGCACAAAAGAUCAUUUCAAAUUACCAAUAUUUCAAAUAAUGGAACAUUUUCUAGCAUUUGAAUUAUAACAGAGGAGUCCUGAGAAUAACUUUCUUCCAAAACUUACAAAACUUUAAUAACCCGAUUCAAAGUUUAUUAUGUCCAGUCCCUUUUGAAGCACUAUAAUGAAAUAAAAUCUAGUUUGGGAUUAAACUUAAUUGCUAAUUUUUCUGUUUAAGUUUUAACACUGCAGUGUUUGUGUUUGUUUAGUGUCUAGGUAAAACCAUAAAAUGUCAAUGCCAGCCUAAAAAUAAUUGUCUGCAUUUAACCUAAGCAGAGAAUUCUGAAAUAUAGCUGUGAUCAAAUUAAACUUAACAAAAAGAGAAAUUUAACAGCAACUCUGCUGUCAUUACAAUGUUUAAAGUAUGAAGAAUUAGCAAAGAGUUUCAGCAGCAAAGCAUUUGGAUUCAUGUAAGAGAAGACUGCUGCUGUGCUUCUAAAUUAUUUGAAAUCUCUUUGAAUGGUGUGCACUUAUCUUUAAACAGGAUCCUGAUUAUUAUCAAUCAACGCAUCUGGAGAUAUGCUAAGAAAAACAUUUUUGAAAAGAGAUUGUUGAAAAUGUCUUUAAAUUACUGACGCUUCUGUUGUGAUUAUGAAUCUGAGACUAUCAUUUAAUAUU